Molecule: ribosomal RNA, 254 nt
Filed under: uncultured bacterium
Lineage: Bacteria
Description: partial 16S ribosomal RNA
Rfam family: Bacterial small subunit ribosomal RNA
Source: RNAcentral
UACGUAGGGGGCGAGCGUUGUCCGGAUUCAUUGGGCGUAAAGAGCUCGUAGGCGGUUCAGCAAGUCGGGUGUGAAACCUCCAGGCUCAACCUGGAGACGCCACCCGAUACUGCUGUGACUUGAGUCCGGUAGGGGACCACGGAAUUCCUGGUGUAGCGGUGAAAUGCGCAGAUAUCAGGAGGAACACCGGUGGCGAAGGCGGUGGUCUGGGCCGGCAUUGACGCUGAGGCGCGAAAGCCAGGGGAGCAAACGGG